AUGAGGAGGACUCAGGGGGAAGCAAGGCAGGGACGGCACCGCGAGGAAUCCCGGGGACAGCGCCGGGUGCUCACCGGUGAAGUCCUCGUGGCACUCGCAGGUGUAGCCGCCCUCGCGGCUCCGGCAGCGCCCGUUGCUGCCGCAGGGGCUGGAGAAGCAGAGGUCCACCUCGGUCUCGCAGUAGUCGCCGGUGAAGCCGGGCGGGCAGCGGCAGCGCAGGCCGGUGACGGGGUGGAUGGGGCGGAAGAGGACGGUGUCGGAGGCCAGGAAGGGCGCCGAGCUGUCGAACUUGAGGACGGAGACGCAGCGCAUGUAGUUCUCGCAGGGCUCGCGCAGGCAGAUGUUGUCGUCGAAGGGCAGCACGCGCUGCGCCGAGAUGGCGGCCAGCAGCGAGCGGUUGAGGUACAGCCGCUCCUGCAGCUCCUCCGAGGAGAAGAAGCGGGCGCCGCGCGCCGAGGCCGGCAGCCGCACCGAGAGGCUGACGUUGAGGAUGCGGGCGGCCCCCACGUCCGUGUCCGUCUGGAUGUUGAAGAGCACGACGCGGUGGCGGGGGGCCGCCAGCACCGCCGCCACCCCCUCCAGGAAGAGGCUGAGCAGGGGCGAGAGGAAGCGCUCCUGGGACAUGUCGGCCAGCCGCAGCGUGAUGCUGUUGCUCAGCAUCUCGUCCGUGAUCACCGUCACCCGCAGCGUGCACUGCGCCGUGGCGCUGUGGACCCCAUCUGCGGGCAGGACAAUGGCCGCGGUCACCGCGGUGGCACCCAGUGGGGAUGGCCGUGGGGCGACCACCCAACCGCUGGUGUUCACCACGGUGGCACCCGGUGGGGAUGGUCACGGGUUGACCACCCACCUCCCUGUGGUAGCCACGGUGGCACCCAACGGGGACGGCCAUGGGGCAAACACCUGAGGUGUGGUGGUCACUGCGGUGGCACCCGGUGGGGAUGGUCACGGGGCGACCACCCAGCCCCUCAUGGUCACUGCGGUGGCACCCAUUGGGCCUGGUCAUGGGGUGAGCAGCCACCCCUUGUGCCCUCCACGGUGGCACCUGAUGGGGAUGGCCAUGAGGCACCAACCCAACCGGUCCCACCCUGGGGUCGGUGCCUGCGGUGCCUCCUCCUCCGCCUCCUCCUCCUUGCUGGGGUGGCAGAGGGACAGACGGACAGACGGAGGAUGGGCAGAGCACCGGCAGAUGGACGGAUGGAUGGAAGCAGCCCUGGGACAGCUCGGGGACGUGGGGACUGCGGGUGGCACUGGACAGGGGGCCGUGGGCUCAGGGAACGGUGA
This 1281-nucleotide long non-coding RNA is filed under the name Cairina moschata (Muscovy duck). RNAcentral's name for it is "domestica (muscovy Duck (domestic type)) lncRNA (ENSCMMG00000008235.1)". The record is from RNAcentral. Lineage: Eukaryota; Metazoa; Chordata; Aves; Anseriformes; Anatidae.